UACGUAGGGGGCAAGCGUUGUCCGGAAUCAUUGGGCGUAAAGAGCGUGUAGGCGGCUCGAUAAGUCCGCUGUGAAAGUCCAGGGCUCAACCCUGGAAGGCCGGUGGAAACUGUCGGGCUAGAGUCCGGAAGAGGCGAGUGGAAUUCCCGGUGUAGCGGUGAAAUGCGCAGAUAUCGGGAGGAACACCAAUGGCGAAGGCGGGUCUCUGGGACGGUACUGACGCUGAGACGCGAAAGCCAGGGGAGCAAACGGG
This 253-nucleotide ribosomal RNA is filed under the name uncultured bacterium. RNAcentral describes it as "partial 16S ribosomal RNA". It matches the Rfam family "Bacterial small subunit ribosomal RNA", at positions 524 to 776 of the family's 1533-position model. The record is from RNAcentral.